Molecule: ribosomal RNA, 459 nt
Filed under: uncultured bacterium
Lineage: Bacteria
Description: partial 16S ribosomal RNA
Rfam family: Bacterial small subunit ribosomal RNA
Source: RNAcentral
CCUACGGGAGGCAGCAGUGAGGAAUAUUGGUCAAUGGGCGCGAGCCUGAACCAGCCAAGUAGCGUGAAGGAUGACUGCCCUACGGGUUGUAAACUUCUUUUAUCAAGGAAUAAAGUGAGGCACGUGUGCCUUUUUGGAUGUAUUUUAUGAAUAAGGAUCGGCUAACUCCGUGCCAGCAGCCGCGGUAAUACGGAGGAUCCGAGCGUUAUCCGGAUUUAUUGGGUUUAAAGGGUGCGCAGGCGGAAGAUGAAGUCAUCGGUAAAAGUGAGAGGCGCAACCUCGUCGAGCCGUUGAAACUGGUUUUCUUGAGUGAGUGAGAGGGAUGCGGAAUGCGUGGUGUAGCGGUGAAAUGCAUAGAUAUCACGCAGAACUCCGAUUGCGAAGGCAGCAUACCGGCGCUCAACGGACGCUCAUGCACGAAAGUGUGGGUAUCGAACAGGAUUAGAUACCCCAGUAGUC